AUAUCAUCUGCUAACCGUUGACUUUUUAACUAAUGAUCGUCUGACUACUCGUGUUUUCUCUCCAUUGGACUUGUAACGAUGUCGCUGUGAUCCCAGAUCUCAGCAAUUACUUUGCUUCUGUGGACCCACUACCACGUCUGCUCACCCCAGAGAUUUCAUUUCACAUAGCAAUCAGAAGAUUUUAGUGCCACCAAAGGCAGAAACUGCUGAGUUCCUACCCAUAAUGACGGCAGUGAGAAGGGCCACCCGUUGAUGAGUCACCACCUCCAUUUACUGCAUGGAGGUCCCACCGCCACUGGGCAGAGUUGGCUGGCCACGUCUGACCACGCGUCUACUCAGCCAUUGGAAUAUUUUUAACUAUGAAGCCAACUUAAUUAGUUCGAAUCACAAGGCGUUUAUUUGCUGUCCAUCCAUAUUGCUCAGACAGAGAUGGGAAGGAAAGCCUUCAUAUUUUCUGCUCCAGCCACAUGGAAUUCUUUGCAGAAAGAGAGUAAAUGAGGAAACUGGUAACUCUGUGCCAAAUUGGAGACUAUUAUAAAUUGUACGGCAAAUGGCUCCAUCUGUAUAUUGUGUCUCUUGUACUUUUUAGUGCUGCAUUGUCUGUUUGACAGAUAUUGUAUAGAUUUGUUUGAAACUUUUAAUUUUGCCAUAUUU
Molecule: long non-coding RNA, 654 nt
Organism: Perca fluviatilis (European perch)
Lineage: Eukaryota; Metazoa; Chordata; Actinopteri; Perciformes; Percidae
Exons: 3
Source: RefSeq, a predicted model, not a curated record